UACGAAGGGGGCUAGCGUUGUUCGGAUUAACUGGGCGUAAAGCGCGCGUAGGCGGGUUUUUAAGUCAGGGGUGAAAUCCCAAGGCUCAACCUUGGAACUGCCUUUGAUACUGGAAAUCUUGAGUCCGGGAGAGGUGAGUGGAACUGCGAGUGUAGAGGUGAAAUUCGUAGAUAUUCGCAAGAACACCAGUGGCGAAGGCGGCUCACUGGCCCGGUACUGACGCUGAGGUGCGAAAGCGUGGGGGAGCAAACAGG
This 254-nucleotide ribosomal RNA is filed under the name uncultured bacterium. Its description in RNAcentral is "partial 16S ribosomal RNA". It matches the Rfam family "Bacterial small subunit ribosomal RNA", at positions 524 to 776 of the family's 1533-position model. The record is from RNAcentral.